RNAcentral lists this long non-coding RNA (877 nucleotides) under Rattus norvegicus (Norway rat). RNAcentral describes it as "long non-coding RNA NONRATT003031". The record is from RNAcentral. Lineage: Eukaryota; Metazoa; Chordata; Mammalia; Rodentia; Muridae.
CACUGUAGCUGUCUUCUUUUAGAAAGUUAUUAUCAUAAUAUAGAGAUUGGAGACGUGGCUCAGCAAGUUAGUGUGCUACCUGCUCAAGUAUGAGGAUCUGAGUUUGGAUUCUCCAGGAUCCAUUUAAAAAGCCAGGUAAACCAGGAUGCACUCCUGUAACGCCAUUGCUGUAGGGGAACAGAGACAGAGAGGAUCAUGGGACUUGUUGGUUGCCAGCCUAGUUCUAAAGUCAGUGAGAGAUCUGGUUUUCAAGAGAAUUGGGCAGACGGUGCUAGAACAGGACAGCUGACACCUUCCUGUGUCCUCUGCACCCAUGCAUGUGUCCUCCUCCAUACACGUGUGCCUAUGCCUUACUCGCAUACACCACCACAGUUGCAGAGCCUGGUCUGCUGUCCUGUAUGAUUCCCUCACUGUCAGGUUCCUGCUGGCUCCAGCACCAAUGGCUCUCUUUUCACUCUACCUCUUCCUUCUUGGCCCCCUGGAUACAUCCAUCCCUCUUAUGACUCAAACCUACCUCCAUUUCUGUCCUUUCACUAUGAAAGUCUCUACCACCCACACUGGCACUACCUCUGAUGUCCCACAGGCUCCCACUACUGGCGUCUGGACUCCAGCCGUGAUGGGUGGCAUAGCUGGCCCAUUGCUCAUCACUGGCCCCAGGGUCCUUCAGCAGUAGAUGCUGCCUUUUCCUGGGAUGAGAAAGUCUAUCUGAUCCAGGGCACUCAAGUAUAUGUCUUCCUGACGAAGGGGGGCAAUAACCUAGUAAGUGGUUAUCCAAAGCGGCUGGAGAAGGAACUUGGGAGCCCUCCCGGGAUCAGCCUUGAUACCAUAGAUGCAGCCUUUUCCUGCCCUGGUUCUUCCAAGCUCUACGUCACAUCAG